UACGUAGGGGGCGAGCGUUGUCCGGAAUUACUGGGCGUAAAGGGCGCCUAGGCGGUUUCUUAAGUCUGCUGUGAAAGACCGGGGCUCAACCCCGGGGUGUCAGCGGAGACUGGGAGACUUGAGUGUCGGAGAGGAGUGCGGAAUUCCUGGUGUAGCGGUGGAAUGCGUAGAUAUCAGGAGGAACACCGAUGGCGAAGGCAGCACUCUGGCCGAAUACUGACGCUGAAGCGCGAAAGCGUGGGGAGCGAACGGG
Molecule: ribosomal RNA, 253 nt
Filed under: uncultured bacterium
Lineage: Bacteria
Description: partial 16S ribosomal RNA
Rfam family: Bacterial small subunit ribosomal RNA
Source: RNAcentral